Molecule: long non-coding RNA, 3227 nt
Organism: Cuculus canorus (common cuckoo)
Lineage: Eukaryota; Metazoa; Chordata; Aves; Cuculiformes; Cuculidae
Exons: 3
Source: RefSeq, a predicted model, not a curated record
ACCCCAGCCAACCUCUGAAUCUCUUCUAAUCUCUUCCUACUAAACUGAGUUCAGAACAGAUCUUUUCACUCAUGCUGCAGAGGAGAGGGUAUGGCAUUAGCGCCCCUGGGGGCCCAUCAGUGACAAGGAGAAGGAGGGGAAAAUAUCUACAGCCCCAGUGAGCAUGGAUGGCAGGAGUCCUCACAAUGCAACCUCCCCUUGCCUGUUCCCACCCCGUCUCUGAUCCAGAGGGCGACUGCAUAAGCGACUUUACUUCUGCAGCUCUUGGUCUUCUCAGCCAUCAGAAGUUCUGCAGAAAGACCUAAGGGAAGGUUUAUGCUUUAUACAUAUGCUUUUAUACAUGGAUGAUACCACGCUGUAGUGAAAAAAGGGGGAUACUGGAUUCACACUGAUAAUGUCAUACAUUAGACACUGUGAGAAGCACAGAGAUGCUGGAGCCCUCUAUUUAGCAUCUAACAGCACACCAAAAAAAACAGUUGAUAUGUUUCGGUAGUUUGGGAUCUGGGAAGAGUGUCUAGAUAACACCACUGGUGAGAAAAGACUGUACAAACGGACAGUGCUCGGUCAGCAAGAAAGGAAAACAGACUGAAGGCUGCAGCCUUCAAGCAUGCUGGUGUGUAAGGAACAGUCUUUCCACCACAGACAGGACAAGGAGAAUUGAAUUUCAACUGUAGCAAGGGAUAAUUAGACCAGAAAGUUAAGUUUCCUAAAUAUAGAUAUUGUGAGACACUGGAGAAGAUUGGGGUGCUUAUGGAAUCUUUGUCACUGGAGGUUUCUAAGAGCAGACAAGGAAAAUGCCUGUCAAAAAUGAUUUGCAUCUAAUUGAUUCUGCCUUGGAGCAGAAGAAUAGACUAGAUGGCUACUAAACGCCUGAGGCAGUCCUGUUUCCUGAGGUGCUUUUAGACGUGCUGAUCAUCUAAACAGUUCAUAAGAGCUAGAUAUUUGUUUUUAAUAACUAGCAUACCUGGCAUACUUGGCAUGCCCUUAACCAUGGUCUGGCUACAAAGGAAAAGUUGUUUUUUUCAGUCAGCUAGCAAUGUCCUAAGCAUAUUGUCUGUAUUAAAAAUGCCAUUCAUGGUACAUAUGUUUAAGAGCUGCAUAUUCAUCAGAUUGCCAAUCAACCAGAUUCAGGACAUGGAGGACACAAAAUCCCUGUUUCAUACAUUUAUGAAACCUGUGUCCCCAUGUCUGUCCUCCUUACGUUAGCAAAGAUCAGUGAUUCAUGGCAAUUAACAGCCUUGGUUGGAUUUGAUGAUACUGAAAGGAGCAGGUAAAGGUGUCAGGUCAGAGGGGAUGAAAAACCCCAGCACAGGGGACAAGCAGCAGGGACACUCUGCUCUUGGGAUUUCUGUUUACUUUCCAGCACAGCAUGAGCUCUCCUGGCUUGGCCUAUUGUAGACAUCAGAAACACACAGGUCCAGAUGAGGCAACAUGCUAAAAUCCACCGCUAAUCUGACACCCACGGGAAAACGGAGAACAAAAAGAUACCUGCUUUCUGAGGAGGAAGAGUACCACAAACUGAGAUGGUGUGCCCACCUGUAGGUGACAGAGUUCUGCAAUGAGUGGCUGAAAACACUGUUUUCACACCCAGCAAUCAACCAGCAGUGGGGGUGAAUGCAUUUAAGACGUAAGAGGAGCCUGAAGUGGCGAGCCAGCUGAGCAGGAGUUGUACAAGGCAUUCCCAGCAGAUGUCCAUUUCCCAGAGCUAACAGAAAACCUUGGAAAGCAGAAUAUAAUUUAGUACAGCCUUGAAGACACUCUGUCUUGCCCCAGAGGGCUGGAAGAUUAAAAACCAGCACCCUUCAAACAGCCUCAGUCCAGGUACCUCUGUCACUAACAACAGGGCUCAGUUUUUACUCAGAAUGAGCCUUAUGUUAAGUCUGAUCAACAAAUUUAUACAACUUCUCUUGCAAAUUUACAGUAGCAGAGAUAAAUGCAGGAGUGAUGCAAGUAUGCAAAUUAAACUCUUCCUCAGCCAUUGUUAAAGCUACCGCUUUUCCAGUGAAAAGCAUAAGAGCGUAUACUUCAUUUUGUGUAUAUAAAGAAUAGGUGCUAUGUCUGCAAAAUAUGCAUUUGCAUAAAAGCCAACUCCCUUUCUGAGAACUCUUAUAACAGGAAACUAUUAAAAUAAAGCACAAAGUAAAUGAAUAAUUUUGAGAUCUCAUUUGUAUGAACCCACUUCAUAAAAUAUGUGUACGUGUAAAGGUUAAGCCAACUGACCAUGAGAUAAAGCAAAAAGCCAUAAACUCACUGUGGAAAGAAAGCUAUUUUCAGUCAAAUUUAAAAGAAUUACUUUCUAUUCAAGGUUUCAUAUCAUGGUGUAUUAAAUUAUAGGAGUGAAAACAGGUUCUGAUUUAAGAAGACAUGGCACAGCAAGAUGCAAUGUGUCAGAAAUGUAGUUACAUACUGUACACUGAUGCUCUGCUUGUCUUCAGUUGUUGGAGGCUGACCAAAUGAAGAAGUUGAUCAUAGCCAAGAAAAUCUUAACACUCAAGAGUCCAAUCCCGCAGCUCUACUAUACAGCAGUAAAUUUUUUCCCUUGUGUAAUCAAUAGGGUGAUUUAUGUUACUUAAGAAUUCAUAGGAAGUAAAAUCCCCAAAGUAUAGUUAAGUGUCACUGAGGCUGGAGGCGAGAGCUGUCUCUGAAAAUUAGACUGUAAAGACCAUAACCACAAAUAAUAUAGGAUGAUGAAGUCUUUCAGAUGGAUGAAAAUAAUCUGUUGAGAGACCUCACCACUGUGUAGGGUGUCUCUGAAUGGCAAAUGAAGCCUGGGUGUCUUGCAACUUAAAGGUCCAAAAGGUCCAACACAAAAAAUUCAAGACUAACCUUAUUGCUCGGGAAACAAGAGUGGGAGGGCAGAGACAAAGAGAUUGCUAUAGAACAUGUUUGAACCUGUCACAGUGAGACAAAGCUCAACUCAAUUGCUUCACUUAGUGUGAGCGGAUGUGUGUUCAAAUGUAGACAUUUUCUUACCCUUGGUCAGAAAAUGUUGAUGUGUGAAAGUGAACAGAGAGUUAACAUCAAGUUUCUUCUGAAACUGAAGAAAUCUGUGACAGAAACUUUUCAAUUCUUGACUGAGGCUUAUGGUGAAGAGAUCCCAAAGAUCAGGUUGGUGCUCAAAGGAACCCAUUUUUUUUGGUAGAAGAUGUGAAAGCAAAAAUGACAGGGAUCCUCAAUAGCCUUUCAGAGAAUGAUCUGUGGAAUUGCUUUGAACGUUGGUAGCAUCA